Molecule: long non-coding RNA, 5282 nt
Organism: Ostrea edulis (European flat oyster)
Lineage: Eukaryota; Metazoa; Mollusca; Bivalvia; Ostreida; Ostreidae
Exons: 4
Source: RefSeq, a predicted model, not a curated record
ACGUAUCUAAGCACAAAGUAAUUAAUACUUUUCAUACUUUCCCAAUUUGAACAUUUUAUGUGUCAAUUUUCCCAAUUCUACGGACUCUGGACCCAGUUUGAAAAUGGUAGGAAAACCCCUGCGAAGACUCAAAUAUGAAAUCAUUUUCAAUUAGAGGUUAAAACAUUUAGUGAUGAAUUAAUUACUGGAAUUUAUGAGGACUACUGAGACAUGUUAAAAUGGUGUCACAUUUGUCUUCAGAUUCAAGAAACGGACUCUAUCUGGAAAAGGAAAACAAUAUCAAAGCUCCUCUGUGAGAAGUUGGCCAAGGAAAGCAUUCAGAAGAAAGUGGAGAUUCAUUGUUUUUACCAGAUCCAGCAGAUCACAGAAAGCAUCUAGUAGGGGAGUUUCCAGGAUUAAGCCAGCCAGUAGAUGAGACUAUUAUAUCAAAAAUACAUUUACUUGUACACGAGGGCACACAAAGCGUUGAUGAAACAAAAAGACAUUUCCGUCUGUUUGUAAAGGAUACUAUUUCACCAGGGAACACCAUCUCAGAAUUUAACAGAUGCUUUUACCCCGCCAAUAAGGAUGUAAGAAAUCACAUUUACAGGGCACCGAGAUUUUGCCAGGUAGUUUAGAACUGUGUGCAUUGGUUUUGGGAGAAUUUGGGCUGUUUAGGCUAAAAUCCAUUAUGAUUGGACAGAAUAUGAACACACACAUCCAAUACUUCAAAGAUAUUAUGUUUGUGGAGGCAGAUAUUUUGAUUGCAUCCACUGUUUAGAAUACAUCCUUAAGGGAAGCAGACUGCCGCCUUUACCCAAUGAUAUAAUGAUUAAUCAUAACUAUAUCUGUUUUGUACCAAAUAGAAAGAGCAUUGAUUCAGGUCAUUUUCAAAUCCACUGGCAUACAUUGUACUAUACAUGCAACCUUUUCAAACUUUACAUUUAAGAUUUUAUAAAGGAAAUAUCUUAAUGUUUCACAUGUUUACCUUUCACUGUGCUAUGUAAUUCAUUAUACCUGCCAUUAUGUCAGUCUUCCUGAACAUAAUUUGUUUUCUGCAAUUUCAUUGGCCAAGAGGCUUAAUCCUGGGUUAUCAGAUUGAGCAUUUAUUAGCUCUUCUGAGCCAAAGGCUCAAAGAGCUAAUGCUAUGGCCAUUUGUGCGGUGUGCGUAAACUUUUUAGAAAAAGGGCUAUAACUCAAGAACCCCUUGGCCAAUUUCUUUCAAAUUUGUUAAAGGGUAUCAUUGGCCCAAGGGCUUUCAUACAUACUAAAUAAAGGGAUGUGACCCUUUAACAAGGGGAGAUAAUCAGGAAAAUACAAACAAAAGUAGUGGUUGCUAAAAAAUCUUCUUCUCAAGAACCACAGGGCAGAUUAUCACCAAACUUACACAUAAGGAUGAGGAUAUGUUGUAGAUUAAAAAUUGUUCAAGGCAUUACCCUGGGGCAAAGGGCAUGGUCUCAAGGUCACUUCAAAGUUGACCUAAAUUUAAAUUUUUUUUAAAUUCCUUAAAUCUUAGAUAUUUUAGUCAUUAUAAGGACUAGGAUCAUCAAAUUUUGACAGUUGAUGCAUCUUAGGACCUUGUGUCAAGUUGUCUCAAAAGUAGGUCACGGUGACCUACUUUUUGAAUUUUACAGGUAUUUAUUUUAAAAUUAAUUUUGAUGCAUAUCUUGGACACUUUGAAGCCUAUGAUCAUCAAAACUUGUCAGUUGGUGGAUCAUGGGACCUUGAAAUUCGUCAACUGAAAAAUAGGUCACCGUGACCUACUUUCUGAAUUUGAUGGCUUAUCAUUUAUAGAUAUAUUUUAAGUUGUUAUUUCAAAUACCGAGAGGUUUAGAAUCAUCAAAUCUUGUAAGUUGAUGCAUCUUGAGGCCUUGAAACAUAUUUAUUAAAAAAGUAGGUCACAGUGACCUACUUUUUGAAUUUUGCAGAUAUUCAAAUUUCACAUUUUCAAUUUUAGAUGCAUAUUUUGGGCACUGUAAAACCUAGGAUCAUCAAACUUUGUCAGUUGAUGCGUCUUCAGUCUUCGGUUUGUGUCGACCAAAAAGUAGGUCACCGUGACCUACUUUUGGUAUUUGACAGCUAAAUUACUAUAUUUCACACACUAUUUGACCUACAAUCAUCAAACUUUGUCAGUUGAUGCAUCUUGAGUCUUCGGAGUGUAUCGACCAAAAAGUAGGUCACUGUGACCUACUUUUGGCAUUUGACAGUUAUAUUUAUAUAUUUCAGUCACUAAUUGACCUACAAUCAUCAAACUUUGACAGUUGAUGCAUCUUGAGUCAAUGGAGUGUGUCGACCAAAAAGUAGGUCACCUUGACCUACUUUUGGAAUUUGACGGCUAUAUUUAUAUAUUUCAAAUACUAUUUGACCUACAGUCAUCAAACUUUGUCAGUUGAUGGGUCUUGCAUGUUCGAAGGGUUUCGACCAAAAAGUAGGUCACCUUGACCUACUUUUGGAAUUGGACACCUAUAUUUAUACAUUUCAGAUACUAUUUGACCUACAGUCAUCAAACUUUGUCAGUUGAUGCGUCUUGCAUGUUCAAAGGGUGUUGACCAAAAAGUAGGUCACCUUGACCUACUUUUGGAAUUGGACGGCUAUAUUUAUAUAUUUCAGAUACUAUUUGACCUACAGUCAUCAAACUUUGUCAGUUGAUGGGUCUUGCAUGUUCGGAGUUCGCUGACCAGAAAGUAGGUCACCAUGACCUACGAUUGGAAUUUGACAGCUAUAUUUCAAUAUUCAGAUACUAAUUGGCUUAAAAUCAUCAAACUUUGUCAGUUGAUAUUUCUUGGGUUCUCAAAAUGUGUAAACCAAAAAGUAGGUCACAUUGACCUACUUUUUUUGAAUUCUUAGGAUUUAACUAAAGAUUUAGAAUACUAAGAGGCUAAGAAUAGAAAUGGUGGGGUUGUACAAUUUAUCAGAAGAGCGAUUCUAGGCCCUUGGGCCUCUUGUAUUUAGUAUCCCAUUGAUUUUGUCAGCCCUAUAUAAGGAGCUGACUCAGAUUUACUCACUCUGCUAGGUUAAAGAACUCUAAGGUUUGUACUUUUCACAUGAAUUUCGUGUUCGCCUCUUAUCUUUUACAUAGAGUAGGAAAUGAACAUAACAUUGAGUUAGGGAACUAUUUAGAUUUUACAUUAUAUGUAAAUACCUUAGCAGAGUCAAUUUACUUGGUUCAGGGUAGUAUCAGAUAUUACUUUCUCAGAGUUUAAGUGUUUAGGCUAUCUCAAUGUUUCUAUAGUUAGCCUUGUCCUAUGUUACUUUUAGAUGUAUGGAAGCCUUUUAGUGUUAUAACACUAUAUUUAUGCCCCCAUUCAAAGAAGAGGGGCAUAUUGGUUUGCACCUGUUGGUCGGUCGGUAGACCACAUGUUGUCCGCUUAAUAUCUUAAGAACCAUUCACUUGAUCGUAAUAUAUUUCAUAUGUGGGUUGGUUAUGAAAAGAAGAGGACCCCAAUUGUUUUUCAGGUCGAAAUGUCAAGGGUCAAUCUACUCUGGACAUAGGAAGACACUGCCUGCUCAAUAUCUUGAGAACCCUUUGCUUGACAGACAUCAAACUUGGUACACUGGUACAUCUCAAGGAGUAGAUUUGAGGUCAUAUGGUCAAAGGUCAAGGGGUAAACUGGACAUAGUAAUAUAUUGUCUCUUAUGUUUUAAGAAUUAUUUGCUUGAUUGACACCAAACCUGGUACAGCAUAAGGAGUAGAUGACCCCUAUUGAUUUUUAGGUCACUUGGUCAAUCCACUCCUGACAUAGGAAGAUAUUGUUUGCUCAAUAUUUCGAAUUGAUGAUACUACUAUCAAUCAAAUUAUGCAUAUGUAUAACCCUUUUCAAUUUUGCACCAUGGGGGCUUAUAUGUAAUUGUUUUACAAACACCUCAUGUUUUAUAGUUUGUGAAAGCUUGUUAGGGUCAUAACUUUAGAUUUUCUUAUUAUGGUACUUGCCCGUCAGAGACUGGACAUAUUAUGGUAUGGUGUUGUCUGUCCGGACCUUGUAAGAUGGGAUACAGACUGAACCGUAAGCUCUAGAAUCUUACAACUUGGUACAUUUGAUCACCAUAAAAGGAAGAUGCUUAUUGUUUUUUAAGGUCAAGGUUGUAGGUUCACUUAAUGGGAAAACCUUGUUCGAGAAAAUUACAGAUUCUUGAACUGAGUAUUUUGAGGAAACAUUACAUAGAAAGUACAUGAUUUGUCAAAUUUCUCCCAAUAUUCAACUGAGAACCUUAUUCUGCAGAGUAUUUGUAUGGGUAUGGAAAAUGUGUAUGUGGCUAUGAUUUUGAUUUUUGUUUAAAUUUUUGUUGUUGAAAAUUACAGGUUUAACCGAGUCAGUUUUUGAGGAAAUAUACAUGUAUUAAAUAAAUGACGGUUUGACCUUUUAACUCCUCUCACAGUUUUGAAGCUAGGGUCUUUGUAAAUAACUUCUUUGGUGUUUUAGAAUAUUUACAGAUUGUUGAUCAUGGUCAAUUUUGGGGAAAUAUUUUCCGCAGAGCUCUAGUUGUCUAUCUACCGGCCUCCUGUCACUUUUAAGUUUAGGAGCUUUUAUUCAUGGAAAGAAAGUAUGUGACAACCUGAUGAUGGCUGAUACUAUUUAAAGCCUUUUUAUACGCCCGUCUUAAGAUGGGACGUAUUAUGGUAUGGCGUUCAUGUCCGUCCGUCUGUUAGCUUUUUCGUGUCCGACCCGUAACUUAAAUACUACAAGGCCUAGAAUCAUCAAACUUUGUCUGUAGAUACAUCUUGGGUAGAAGGUGUGUCGCACAUUAAAACCAGGUCACUGUGACUUUUCAUUAAGAAGAUAUCCGUCUGUCCGUCCGUCUGUUAGCUUUUUCGUGUCCGACCCGUAACUUAAAUACUACAAGGCCUAGAAUCAUCAAACUUUGUCUGUAGAUACAUCUUGGGUAGAAGGUGUGUCGCACAUUAAAACCAGGUCACUGUGACUUUUCAUUAGGAAGAUAUGGCCAUAUAUGGCAAAAACUUGUCCGACUCAUAACUUGAAAACUAUUAGACCUAGAAUCACCAAAAUUGGUCAACUAAUGCAUCUUAGGUAGAAGGUGUGUCGCAUCCUACUUUAAGGUCACUGUGACAUUUAAUUAAGGUGAUAUAAAAAAUGUUUUAAUGGGUACAAUCUAUACUGUUAACAAUAUGUGACGGGCAUAUCAUGUGCCGUGGCCGUGCACUUUAUUCUAGAAAUGGCAUCAGAAAAACACCCUAUGUAACCUUUUCUGCUUGUACUCAUUUAUUUUUAUUGGAAAACUUAUUACUUGUUAUCAGCUACUCUAAAACAAUAUUGACUUGUGCUAUAAUAAAUUUGUAAACUUUA